Molecule: unclassified non-coding RNA, 351 nt
Filed under: Hevea brasiliensis (rubber tree)
Lineage: Eukaryota; Viridiplantae; Streptophyta; Magnoliopsida; Malpighiales; Euphorbiaceae
Source: RNAcentral
AAUCUGAACGUGUCCAUGAAUAUAAUUUUGAUCAUCCUGAUGCCUUUGACACAGAACAGCUGUUGGAGUGCAUGGAGCAGCUCAAAAGUGGGCAAUCUUUCAAUGUUCCUAUAUAUGAUUUUAAGAACCACCGAAGAUGCUCUGAGAGUUUCCGAAAGGUCAAUGCAUCUGACGUCAUUAUCUUGGAGGGAAUAUUAGUCUUCCAUGAUCCUCGAGUCCGUAACUUGAUGGACAUGAAGAUUUUCGUUGACACAGAUGCUGAUGUUAGACUUGCCCGAAGAAUAAGACGUGAUAUAGUUGAGAGAGGUAGAGAUGUGAAUUCAGUCCUCGAACAGUAUGCGAGAUUUGUCA